UGCAGAAUCCCGUGAACCAUCGAGUUUUUGAACGCAAGUUGCGCCCGAAGCCAUCUGGUUGAGGGCACGUCUGCCUGGGCGUCACGUAUCAUGUCGCCCCCACCAAUCAGUCCAUAUUGGGUUGCUUUUGUGGGGCGGAUAUUGGUCUCCUGUGCUCAUUGCGUGGUUGGCCUAAAUAGGAGUCGCCUCGAGAGUGAUGCACGACUAGUGGUGGUUGAUAAAACAGUCGUCUCGUGUCGUGUUUUCAUUCUUGAGUCAGAUGCUCUUAACCUACCUUGAUGUGUUUUGUUGUCAUGACACUUCGAUCGCGACCCCAGGUCAGGCGGGACUACCCGCUGAGUUUAA
RNAcentral lists this ribosomal RNA (345 nucleotides) under Asteraceae environmental sample. Its description in RNAcentral is "eukaryotic LSU rRNA". The stretch from base 1 to 84 matches the Rfam family "5.8S ribosomal RNA", at positions 73 to 154 of the family's 154-position model. Lineage: Eukaryota; Viridiplantae; Streptophyta; Magnoliopsida; Asterales. The record is from RNAcentral.